AUUGAACGCUGGCGGCAGGCCUAACACAUGCAAGUCGAGCGGAUGAAGGGAGCUUGCUCCUGGAUUCAGCGGCGGACGGGUGAGUAAUGCCUAGGAAUCUGCCUGGUAGUGGGGGAUAACGUCCGGAAACGGGCGCUAAUACCGCAUACGUCCUGAGGGAGAAAGUGGGGGAUCUUCGGACCUCACGCUAUCAGAUGAGCCUAGGUCCGAUUAGCUAGUUGGUGGGGUAAAGGCCUACCAAGGCGACGAUCCGUAACUGGUCUGAGAGGAUGAUCAGUCACACUGGAACUGAGACACGGUCCAGACUCCUACGGGAGGCAGCAGUGGGGAAUAUUGGACAAUGGGCGAAAGCCUGAUCCAGCCAUGCCGCGUGUGUGAAGAAGGUCUUCGGAUUGUAAAGCACUUUAAGUUGGGAGGAAGGGCAGUAAGCUAAUACCUUGCUGUUUUGACGUUACCAACAGAAUAAGCACCGGCUAACUUCGUG
Molecule: ribosomal RNA, 484 nt
Filed under: uncultured bacterium
Lineage: Bacteria
Description: partial 16S ribosomal RNA
Rfam family: Bacterial small subunit ribosomal RNA
Source: RNAcentral